AUGACCGUAGGGGAUCCUUCCUUAGCGGGUCGGAGCCCAAAGGAACGCAGAGUGGGAGCAGCAGGGGCAUUCUGUUCCCCCUGUCCCGCAGCCCCCAAGCAGCAGGGUCUGAACUGGUGGUUCUCUUUAGCCGUGAGCCCUCAGUUGGUGUCAGCCCGGUGCCAGGCACCCCUAGCUCAUGUUCCCCCCGCGCCCAGCCGGGAAGUGGCCAAACUCAGCAAUAAAUCAAUCCACUGCCACAUCGCUCCCUUCGAUCGAGCAAACACUGCGAUCAGUCCGGUCACUUCUCCUCCCACCCCACCCGCUCUGAGACUGACGCUGCUUCACGGGCUGGGGAUACGGACCCGAGGGAGAUGUACGGUUAAAGAGCCGCUGGAGCGAGCCCCGAGUUCCCGGGGGAGAAGGAAGGUUGGCCUGUGGAGAGGCAGCCAGCAGACCAACUGUGAUUUCUGCCGUAAUUCUUGUGUGUGUUUACGAUCGCUUCGGAGGAGAUGGUUGCCGCAGUGUGUGGCAAGUGCUUCUUCGAGAAAUCCAUCAGCCCUUCUACGGUGA
RNAcentral lists this long non-coding RNA (552 nucleotides) under Coturnix japonica (Japanese quail). RNAcentral describes it as "lncRNA (ENSCJPG00005016594.1)". The record is from RNAcentral. Lineage: Eukaryota; Metazoa; Chordata; Aves; Galliformes; Phasianidae.